This 3461-nucleotide long non-coding RNA is filed under the name Sus scrofa (pig). RNAcentral's name for it is "lncRNA (ENSSSCG00065040070.1)". Lineage: Eukaryota; Metazoa; Chordata; Mammalia; Artiodactyla; Suidae. The record is from RNAcentral.
UAUAGUUUCAGGUGUACAGUGAAGUGAAUCAGUUAUACAUAUACAUAUACCCAUUCUGCUUUCUCAUACAGGUUAUUACCGCCUAUUGAGUACAUUUCCCUGUGCUAUACAGUAGGUUCUUGUGAAUCAUCUAAACUAUACAGUAGUAUAUAUAUGUUAGUCCCAUCAUCCCAAUCCCCUAUCUCUCCUCCAUGGAUUCCCACAUGGUAACCAUAAGAUUGGUUUUGAAAUCCAAAUACAAUCACAUUCUGAGGCACUGAUGGUUAGGACACUAGCACUUGAAUUUGGGGGGACUUGGCUCAGCCCACAACAUCACUGCUAAGAGCAUCAUCAUUUUGUUAUACGGAAAUCACAGCACAAAGAGAAGCCCAAAGUCUUAAAAAAGCAAAGGGACCUGCACCAAACCAGGGUGGGGUGAACCAGAAGGGUUGGUGUCCAGAGAACUCAAGGGAAAAGCUUUCUUCAGGUGGCCAUCAAGGUUGCACCUGAGGUCUGUGUGCAGGUGGCUGGGUCUCAGAUGUAACUAAGAGAGAGGCAGACAGGCACAUGUUGGAUUCAGUGCCCAGUGCUGGGGUCAGUGCUGAGACCUGACUCAGCCCCCUGAGGGAGUGUAGGAAAGGGGCAGCCAAGUCUGCUGCAGCCCCCACCUCUACCUUCAACUAUCCCACAAGUCACAUUAGCCCACAAUAUCUCUAACCCCAAUGUCACUCCCUCAUUGGUCUCUGAAUCACUUCCUUUUUUAAACUCAAAUUUUAUUUCAAAUGAAUACCCAGAAUCAAGCUAGUAAACAUGACUUAACUGCUGAAUCCAAAGGGUGGACCUGGAGGGGUGGGAGGCAGAUUUCAAGGUGAGGAUCAGUGAGAGAGAUACAGGAUUCCUGGACCCAUAAAGUUAUAAGAUGUUACAGGUUGGGGUGGAGGAUCUGAUGAAAUAGGCAUAACGUGUCCUCAGAGCCAAGCUGGAAGUAACUAAAACAUCUUAGGAGAGCCAAAGAAAUUCAAAAUAGCACCAAGCAAUUAAGGAAGUUCACUGUAAAGCUAGAAUUGCAGAUUCAAAGCCUUAAAAUCCCCAUGCAUCUGUAAGGAAGUAGGGCCUUGGAAUGCUGGGCUGCAGAACCUAGCCUUGUAAAUCAGGAAAGAGUGGCCAGAGAAAGAACCACACACAGGCUAAAACACAAGUCAUGGUCCUAGCCCCCUGGUGGAUGGUUAACCCAGCCUGAGACUCUGGGCCACAUUGUCAUGCUGAUCUGAUUCCUUCACUCCAAGAAGACUUGAAGUGACAAGGAAACCAAGGAAUCCCCACUGUGGCACAGCGGGUUAACAAACAGUUGAAUCUGUGUCCAAUUUGAUCCCCAGCCUGGUGUGAAUUGGGCAUUGCCACAGCUAGAGCACAGGUCACAGAUGCCAAAGCUGGGCUGCUCUGAAGAGGAAAGGGAGGAGCCAGGAUACUUAGGGUGUUUUGCAAAAAAGACCAGGUAGCUUAAACAUGAAAAGAUUACUGUUAAUUAAAAAAAAGAAAAAAAAGACAGACAUUACAAGUGAUUGAACUCAGCACUUUUCUUUGUACAGGACGAGGCAAGAGUCUGGGCUGACUGAACUCACUCCCUUGAUGGGUACCUCUGUUUUCUGGGGCCAGUGUUCUGCUUUUCUCCAUCCUGAGUCCCCUCAGGGUGCACAGUCAGGGUGGCUGCUGUGGCUGAGGGAUUGGUGGUGAGCAGUCCCUUCACUGCCAUCCUGGCUUCCCUCAGAGCUCACCCUCAGGGCCACUAUAAUGUGAUAGCUUGAUGGCUUGAUGGCCACAGCAUCCUUUGUUUACUGACAUGGCAGGAAAUAUUUUUUACUCAGUUUCCUGAGUCCAUGUUCUCCAGGACAGUGUGACAUGACCUUCUGAGUCAUUGCAUCCUUUGGAGCAAACAGCUGGACCAGCCCAGGUCCAAAACUAAGGGCUGUGCUGUAGGCCUAUGACCCUCCCUCAUCAGGCUGCUGGAGCCCUACAUGGGAAAUGCCAUGUUCAUGUAUCACCUUUGUCUCUCCAUCUGGGAAAACCCCACCUGCUCAUCUGGGCAGGAAAUCCAAGGCCAGGGCCCCUGCCCACUUUAGAUUUGGUCUCCAUCCUCUAAAUGCAUUUUUUUGGUCUUUUUAGGGCCACACCUACAGCAUAUGGAAGUUACAAGGCUAGGGGUGGAAACACAGCUGCAGCUUCCAGCACUGGAACAAUAAUGAGAAUGCUACCCGGUGAAUUCUCACCAACCAGACACCAGCCCCAGCAGCAGCCAUAUCAGCCUCACCCUGAGCCCUCCAUGAUGGAGAUGUGAGUGUGCAUUCUGGCUUAUCUGUGCUAGGAAUUCUGCAGAUGAGCUGUGUGGAGAGGACCCUGGGGCUGCCUGCACAGUACCCAGGACCCUGUUAGGGUCUCACCAGGCAGAGGGAGCCAGCAACUAGCAGACACCUGCUAAGGAGGCAGAGGAGUCAUGAGUCUUAUUAGGAGAGGCCUCUGAGAAAGACCAUAGUAAAUAGGCUCCCUUUUCCUUAGGACCUUGUCUUGAACUCUCUAUCCCCUCCCUAUCAGCUUUUAACCCCUGCUGGCCCUGGACUGCAUCCCAUUCCCAUCCUUAUCCCAUCCACAGUUUACUUCAUGUGAGUUGGAAAGCUAGGACCAUGCUCUCAGUCCAGCUGUCAACAAUAAAAAAUGCACAAUCUAUGGAGAUCCCAUUGUUGCUCAAUGGGUUAAGAACAAAACUAGUAUUAAUGAAGAUGAGAGUUCAAUCCAUUGCCUCACUCAAUGGGUUAAGGGUCCAUUGUUUUUAUAAACUCAAGUGUAGGUUUCUGAUGUGGUUUAGAUUUGGCCUUGCUGUGGCUGUGGCAUAGGCCAGGAGCUGUAGCUCCAGUUGAACCCAUAGCCUGGGAAUUUGCAUAUGCUGUAGGUGUGGCCCUAAAGAGAACAACAACAAAAAAGCAUGAUAUAAAAGCUGAGAUGUAUGUUUAAUUCAGGGUACUUGGGAGGCCUUAAGCCUGGGAGGCAGCCUUUUAGGUCACUCUGAGGAUGGCUGUGAAGAAGCCAGGGAGGCAUCAGGAUAUGGAAUGUGUUUUACAACAAAGACCUGGGAGCUGGAACAUCACAAGAUUACUGUCAGUUAAAUGACCUAGCCAAAGGAAAUCAUAAAAAAGGUUAAAACAAUCUAUGGACUUGGAGACAAUAUUUGCAAAUGAUACAACUGACAUGGGUUAAUUUCCAAAAUAUACAAACACCUCAUACAACUAAACAACAAAACAAACAACCCAAACAAAAAUGUGCAGAAGUCCAAAACAGAAAACAAAAAUGUGCAGAAGACCUAAACAGACAUUCCUCCAAAGACAGAUGACCAAUAGGCCUCUGAAAGAAGUUCAACAUUGCUAAUUAUUAGAGAAAUGCAAAUCAAAACUACAAUGAGGUACCACCUCACAGAGGUCAUUAACAAGUCU